UACGAGGGGGGCAAGCGUUGUUCGGAAUUAUUGGGCGUAAAGGGUGCGUAGGCGGUUUGGUAAGUCUUAUGUGAAAUCUACAGGCUCAACCUGUAGUCUGCAUGAGAAACUGCCGGGCUUGAGUAUGGGAGAGGUGAGUGGAAUUCCUGGUGUAGCGGUGAAAUGCGUAGAUAUCAGGAGGAACACCUGUGGCGAAAGCGGCUCACUGGACCAUAACUGACGCUGAUGCACGAAAGCUAGGGGAGCAAACAGG
Molecule: ribosomal RNA, 253 nt
Filed under: uncultured bacterium
Lineage: Bacteria
Description: partial 16S ribosomal RNA
Rfam family: Bacterial small subunit ribosomal RNA
Source: RNAcentral